RNAcentral lists this ribosomal RNA (289 nucleotides) under Varanus exanthematicus. Its description in RNAcentral is "partial 12S ribosomal RNA". The record is from RNAcentral. Lineage: Eukaryota; Metazoa; Chordata; Lepidosauria; Squamata; Varanidae.
AAUUACUAGCACAAACUAAAAACUCAAAAGACUUGACGGUGCUCUACCCUACCUAGAGGAGCCUGUCCUAUAAUCGAUACUCCACGAUCCACCCGACCUUUACUAGAACAUCAGCCUAUAUACCGCCGUCGAAAGAAUAUCCUGCAAAGGCCCAAUAAUUGACCAAAUAGUCCUCUCUAAAACGUCAGGCCAAGGCAUAGCUUAUGUAAAGGCAGAGAUGGGCUACAUUUUUUAAUUUAAAAAAUACGAAAAAUAAUGUGAAACCCAUUAUCCAAAGGCGGAUUUAGCA